AUUAAGCGUGGUCGUGGGUUUCAGUAUCCAACGUUUAACCGUCCGUCUUGUUUGAAUUUUUUCUAGAUUAGUAUUUUUUUUAUUAGAUGAUAAAACACGAAUAGUACUUUAUGCGUGACUUAAUUUUUAAAAAAAAAAUUCAUAAAUUUUUAAAUAAGACAAACGAUCAAAUGUUGAACAUGUAAAUUUAUGGUUACACUUAAA
Molecule: non-coding RNA, 204 nt
Organism: Oryza meridionalis
Lineage: Eukaryota; Viridiplantae; Streptophyta; Magnoliopsida; Poales; Poaceae
Source: Rfam